RNAcentral lists this ribosomal RNA (440 nucleotides) under uncultured bacterium. RNAcentral's name for it is "partial 16S ribosomal RNA". It matches the Rfam family "Bacterial small subunit ribosomal RNA", at positions 338 to 795 of the family's 1533-position model. The record is from RNAcentral.
CCUACGGGAGGCAGCAGUGGGGAAUAUUGCACAAUGGGGGAAACCCUGAUGCAGCGACGCCGCGUGAGUGAAGAAGUAAUUCGUUACGUAAAGCUCUAUCAGCAGGGAAGAAAAUGACGGUACCUGAGUAAGAAGCACCGGCUAACUACGUGCCAGCAGCCGCGGGAAGACGUCGGCGGCAAGCGUUAUCCGGAUUUACGGGGUGUAAAGGGAGCGUAGACGGUGCGCCAAGUCUGGAGUGAAAUGCCGCAGCUUAACUGCGGAACGGCUUUUGAAACUGGCGGACUAGAGUGCGGGAGGGGUAUGCGGAAUUCGUGGUGUAGCGGUGAAAUGCGUAGAUAUUAGGAAGAACACCGAUGGCGAAGGCAGCUUACUGGAUCGAAACUGACGUUGAGGCACGAAAGCGUGGGGAGCGAACAGGAUUAGAUACCCCAGUAGUC